Molecule: long non-coding RNA, 398 nt
Organism: Gigantopelta aegis
Lineage: Eukaryota; Metazoa; Mollusca; Gastropoda; Neomphalida; Peltospiridae
Exons: 3
Source: RefSeq, a predicted model, not a curated record
UAUAAGCUUUGUUUUCCUGUACGGUGAAACGGGAAUAACAACAAUAAGCCUACUAAUAAACAUUAAAACUCCGGGAUAAACAAAAAGACAAAAAAAUGAAGUUGUUGAUUCUGGUUUUCUUGGUGUCCGCACUGCUAAUUUCUAACUCCUUGGCUCUGGACACGUGCGGGAAGGAUGGUUGCCAUAGCAACCACCAGUGCCAGGACUGCUGUGCGGUUGGUCAAAGAUACGAGUGUACGAUAGAAAUAGGUGACGACAGAGGGACGUGCCGCUGUCACAACCACAGACGGAACGAAAAGUAGGCACCAUCACAAAACACACCUGUAUUCGUUGAAAGGCAAUAUGUAAACGCUAUGUAGACGAAGACUUUACAUAAUAAAUAUUGUCUUAAAAGCAAA